UUUAGAAUAACUCUCUUCAAAAUUUGAAAUCCUUGUGGAUGUGGGUGGAACAAAAUGAAAAGGUGCUGAUUCAAAUUUGUAAACGUAUCUGCUGGCUCGAUCGUUUGGUUUGGUGUUCCCCUAGACAAUUGAGCAUAGCAAAACUUGAUUACAGAGUUCCGAAUCUGAUCGCAAGCUCAAUAAACAUAAAUAACGUACCGGUUCUUAUUCAUAUUUCAGAAGACCAAACGCUGAAAAAUCAAUUUGGGGGUAACGAUGAAUAAUUCAUCACCGGCUCAUUCUUCGCUAUCGACGACGGCGGUUGUAGGUGGUGGUGGAGGAGGCAGUGGCAGCAACGCUACUGUAUCCGUUGACGAUUUUAUUUUUCCGUGUGAUCCUAUGUCAUCGGUUGAGCGUAAAGACGAAGCCAUGUCAGUUUUAAAAUCAGAUCUCAUGGCUGCACUUGACAAGGAAGUUAAAUCGUUGGUUGAAGAUAACUGGAAGUUUGAAGGGCCUCGGUCGCGGAUUCACCUUGUAUCACAUCGAGUUAUGCCUUGGCAUAGCAAGGGCAUCCUAUUGCUCUACUCAAGCUUCCCUGCCUAGUUAGGUUAGGGAGAGUAGAUGUGAUGUGUUCAGUCUUAACCCAACCGGGGAGGCUCUUUCCAUGAUCUGAACCUGUGAUCUCUAAGUCACAAGGUAGCAACCUCAUUGUUUUUCCUAGACUUGCCAUUGGUGAUCAUCUCUAUAGGCCCACAGAAGUUUCAAAAAAUUGGAAUUUGACUCCCCCAAAAUAGUUGGAACACUCACCUCAAAGCACUGUUCCUCCAAACUGAAUUGAUUAUGGUCGUGAUCUGAAGACAGAUACAAAUUGUUAUGCCAUAUGUCUUUUCCACCUGAAAACACAGCUGUGACUCUAUAUCUUCAGACUCUGGAAGAGCAUGAUUAUUGCAAAGGAAGGUUCUUUCCGUGCAAGAUCGUCAGUCACAUUUUGUGUUAGUCUUUCUAGUCCGGAUUGAGAAAGCUGGUGUUUUAAUAUUUAUAUGAUAUUAUUGUUCUAAUUUUGAGGGAUCAGUUAUUAAUUGCAGUUGAUUGUUGUAAACUGGAGGUAUUGUAAUGGAUAAGCCAACAAAUGGCUAACGAAUUCACUCGUUUGUUUUAAAAUUUCGGUAAAAUUGACAAAUAAAAUCAUACCUUA
Non-coding RNA from Vigna umbellata (rice bean), 1174 nucleotides. The record is from RefSeq and is a predicted model, not a curated record. Lineage: Eukaryota; Viridiplantae; Streptophyta; Magnoliopsida; Fabales; Fabaceae.